UCUCAAUUCUAAUUAGGCUGGAGAUAACAUUAUGCAUUUUUUCUAGGUGGCUUUUUGUUACUGAACAAGAUAUUAAGGGCCUACCUUAAUUACAGAGCUUAAAGUGAUGUGUGAAUUUGUUGAAUACAGUGAGUUGGUUGAUGCGAUGAUAACAAGUAGUAAGUGCAGAGAACUAUGAAGUGGGAAAUAUGAUUGCUUAGAAAGGGUUAACACGACGAUUAUUUUACUUGCAAACAAGAUUGUGCAAGAGAUUCACGAAUGUAAUGAAGUUUUGAGUUUCUAUUCAAACAUUUAUUGACUAUUUGUUUUGUAUGUUUGGUAUUUAGACAUAGGUUGACGCUUAUUAGACUUUUGUUUGCGAACAUUGGAAUCUUUUGAAGAUGAUUGAUUGAACUUUUUAAUUGAAGUAAUUAUAUUAUGAAUU
RNAcentral lists this long non-coding RNA (424 nucleotides) under Helianthus annuus (common sunflower). Its description in RNAcentral is "hypothetical non coding rna". The record is from RNAcentral. Lineage: Eukaryota; Viridiplantae; Streptophyta; Magnoliopsida; Asterales; Asteraceae.